This 971-nucleotide long non-coding RNA is filed under the name Homo sapiens (human). RNAcentral's name for it is "LNC_000661". Lineage: Eukaryota; Metazoa; Chordata; Mammalia; Primates; Hominidae. The record is from RNAcentral.
CGUUAGUGUCUGUGUGAAGAAGGGCACAUACAUCUGAAUAUCCUCAGUGCAAAAUGAAAAUUAUUUAUUUGGAAGUUACAGUCUAUUAUUACAGACAUUUUCCUUUGGUUUAUUUCUUUUAUGUAUGGCUCUCCCAAAUUUCCAUUUUCAUACUAUUUUAUACUUUUUAGUAAGAAUGAUUUAUUCAUUAUAUGCAUGUAUUUACUUUAUGCCCUUGUAAAAUUUCCUUAUAAAUAUAUUUUUAAAUUAUGCUCUCAUUGACAGACCAUGUGUCCCAUUUGUGGUGUGGGAAGUAUCAUCAACCAUUGCUUUUGUACAGCAACAAGAAUCAGAUGCUCUUUAGAGAUCCUCCAUUUCAUUACUCUAACAUUCUUCAAUGUGGUUCCAGCCACGCAUAGUCAUAUAGAUACUACAUAUUCAAAGAUAACUUACUGAAGCUUGUUCACAGAACCAAGCUUUCUCCUGAUAGCUCUUCUUCCCCUACCCCGCACUUCUGGAAGUAUUACCCCAAAUGCUCUUCAGGAUUUAAAUAACAAUUUUUAAAAAGACACUUAACACCACAAAAUGGAAUUUGCUGGCAUGACGCGAACAAUACGGUUACUCCAGAUGCUGUAUUCAAACUGUAUGGGUCCGUUGAAAAAAUAGAUAUAACCAUUUUUCUCAUAGACAGCAUCUACUUUAUCACCAAUUCCUGGGAAGUCUUCUUCUAUUAGUCUCGGAUAGUCUUUAUCCAUAAUAUGGUUAGUAUCAUCAUAUCUCCAGACCUGGUUUCCUGAGAACAGGAGAGUCUUGCCUGUAUCCUCAAAGUGAACAGCUGCACUUAUCUUCUUAACUUCUUUUGGAAGACCCAGUUCAGAUAUUUUUUUGGGAUAACCUUCCAGAAUGUCAUAACCAUUAAGAGCCCAAAAUUUUCUACCUCUGAAGAUGAAGAUGAGGUCAUGAGAAGGGUGCUCAUAUGCAGCAUCAAUACG